GACAGAGGGGGCGAGCGUUGUCCGGCUUCACAGGGCGUAAAGCGCGCGCAGGCGGCAACCUUAGUGUCGUGUGAAAGCCCCCGGCUCAACCGGGGGAGGCCAUGGCAAACUGGGUCGCUCGAGCUGCGGAGAGGCUCCUCGAAUUGCCGGUGUAGCGGUGAAAUGCGUAGAGAUCGGCAGGAAGACCAAGGGGGAAGCCAGGGGGCUGGCCGCAGGCUGACGCUGAGGCGCGACAGCGUGGGGAGCAAACCGG
RNAcentral lists this ribosomal RNA (253 nucleotides) under uncultured bacterium. RNAcentral's name for it is "partial 16S ribosomal RNA". It matches the Rfam family "Bacterial small subunit ribosomal RNA", at positions 524 to 776 of the family's 1533-position model. The record is from RNAcentral.